AGGCUGACUGACUAAGGGGAGGGCAGGAAGAGGGAGAGAGAGAGAGCGAGAGAGAGCGAAAGAGAGAGAGAGAGAGAAGAGGGGAGUGAGAACGGGUGAAAGUAGAAGGAGUCCUGCACCAGGAGAGAGCGUGUGUGUAUGUGUGUGUGGAAAAGUGGCAGGCUGUUUCUUUCCUCACUCCUCUCUCUGUUUUUUCUCCUUCUCCUUCUUUUGUUCUUUCAAAUGGCUGAUUCUGUGAGAAGGUGGCUGAUGUGACAGAAACAGAAACAGGAUAAGGCUGACAAACUCAACUCAGAAAGUAAUAAAAAAAUAAGCAAGAAGCUAAAGAAACAAUGAGAAGGUGUGGAGCUAAACAUAUGUCUGUGGGUGUACCCAAAAAGUGCAGAGGAAAAAAGGGAACAUGGAGAGGCAACUUUGUUUGGAAGAAAGGAGAAAGAAGAUACCAGCACAGGGAUUCCCAGGACUGAUGAAACACAGACUAUAGCUGUCUUUAUGAUUUUUAAACAAAUUUUGCCAGCGGAAUCGGCCUAGUCCGCCCCCCAAGCCUCUCUCUGUGUGAUGGCCGAAGGAAGACUGAAUGCUCCUUUUCGGACCGCACUGGUCAGUACCACGCAUGCCACCUCACGCCACCUUCCUCUGCCGCUUUCUCUUUCUCCCUCUCUCUCUCUCUCUCUCUCUCUCUCUCUCUCUCUCUCUCUCUCUCUCUCUCUCUCUCUCUCUCUCACUCACUCACUCCUCUGUCUUUUUUUGUGUGCUGGACUGAGCAUCCCAGGAGGCAGCUUGGCCUCCAUCGUCCAGAAAAGAGAGCGAGCGGUCAAAGCCCACCUGUUCAGCAUUUACAAAGAAGGAACAAAGAAUGACAAGUCUAUAGUACGUUAAAUCUCCCGAGUCUUAUUAAAGGAGCCCCUAUUUUCUUUUCAUGGCUGUGGAGUAACUCCGGUCCGUUUUUUUUUUUUGUAUUUUUUUUUAAAACAUCUGGGAAUUAAGAGAAGAAGAAGAAAUGGAUGGUCUGACCGGUUAAAAAAUGUUUGCAUGACUUAAGCGUGCUAUAUUCACUAAAAUCAUUCAGUUCUUUAAUCUCUUCAACUGUUCCAACCAUCUUCCUUCCCACCGUCUCCCAGCUGUGACUUCAGAAAAGGUUUCCUCUCUCUCUCUCUCUCUCUCUCUCUCUCUCUCUCUCUCUCUCUCUCUCUCUCUCUCUCUCUCUCUCUCUCUCUACUUUACCCCCCUCCAUCCCACCCUCUCCGUCAACGAAAGUCUUUUCAUAAUGAAUGGCAAGGUACGAUAAUAGCCUUGCGGUUUCCAUAGAAACCAGACAGUAGCCCUGUGUGUAUGGCAUAACCCCCCCCCCCCCUCUUUUUUUCUUCCCUCUUUUUUUUUCAAGGGGGCAAAUGAUAGUGGAAUGUGAGGCAAAACACCUCCCUCCCUCCUUCCCUCCCUCCUUCUUACUCCAUGCACUCAUUGCACUGUAUUUGGUUUCCCUUUUUUUCCCCCCUUUAGCCUCUGGUCUGGUACUCAGCCUUAUUUCUUUUUCUAUUAGUGUUACCUUAUUGAAUCUUUUGGAUUUUCUGAAAUUGUCAUCGAAUAAAAUAAAGUAUGAACUGAACCGACUAACGGAACUGAUACGAUCUCUUUACGUUUAAGGUUUUAAAAAAAACGUGUCUGUGUUUUUCUUUCCAUGGAAUCAAUACCAAGUAAAAUGUACAUGAUUAGCUAACACUAUACAUUAAGGUCCAUCAUUGGGAGCAAGUGAUGAAUUCAUUUAUUAAUGAAUAUGACUCAUGAAUGCAUGGACUAACCCUUAAAUGAAUCAUACACACGAUAAAUGUUCAAAUGACUGUUACUGUACCUCCUAAUGAAUAGUGUGACUGCAGUAUUAUUAAAGAUCGUUUAUGUUGUUGAUAUAUAUAUACACGAAAUCAUAAUGUCAUUUCAGCUCAGCUUCAGCUUUUUUCUAUUUGAUUUCCAUCACCUUAAUUAAGCCAUAUUAAUAACUUUUGUUGACAUAUGCCAUGAUUCAUACUGUGUGCUAUAAUGAAUCAAUAUCCAUAGAAAUUCCCUUCAAAAACAAACAAACAAACAAACAAACAAAUAAAUAAAUAAAAAAAGAAAUCAAUAUAGUUGUUAGAAUUCUGAUCACAGCAAUUUAAUUUACACUUUACAAAAUGUAACUUAAACUCCCAAAUGACCUCAACUCACUUGAUCAGUUUAAGCUUGCUUAAGCUUGGGCACAAGGUUUAUUUUAUUCAUUAUUAUCCAAAUUCUGUCCUACUGUAAACAAAUAACUUUAACUUAAAGAUUAGUUUAGUUUCAUGCGUUAAAGAGGUUUAUAUCAAUACUAAUACUUUAUAGGCUAUGUCUACUCUACAGUCUACUAAACUAAAUGACACUUCAUUCUCAGAUAGAUAGAUAGAUAGAUAGAUAGAUAGAUAGAUAGAUAGAUAGAUAGAUAGAUAGAUAGAUAGAUAGAUAGAUAGAUAGAUAGAUAGAUAGAUAGAUGGGUGGGUGGGUGGAUGGAUGGAUGGCAGCAUAACACUAAAAUUAAAGCAAAUACAGAUGUAUGCUAAGACAAGAGAUACAGAAGGAGUAUAUUGUGAUUUAUGGAGCUUAAUGGUUGGUUUUUCCAGCUAAAUAACUUUAGAUAGCUACUGUAAAUGUACCUGGAUACAUGGUCAUGAUUGCAGAUUAAAAAGAAUUUCAACCAUGCAAUGUAUGAUGUAUAUAUAAUGAUAUAUAAUGUAUCUGAAAUUCCUUUACAAACAAUAAAAGUGUUACUCUUUGCUAA
Tachysurus fulvidraco (yellow catfish) is the source of this 2785-nucleotide long non-coding RNA. RefSeq lists it as uncharacterized. The record is from RefSeq and is a predicted model, not a curated record. The transcript is spliced from 4 exons. NCBI's taxonomy places the organism in Eukaryota, Metazoa, Chordata, Actinopteri, Siluriformes, Bagridae.